RNAcentral lists this ribosomal RNA (492 nucleotides) under uncultured bacterium. RNAcentral describes it as "partial 16S ribosomal RNA". It matches the Rfam family "Bacterial small subunit ribosomal RNA", at positions 29 to 507 of the family's 1533-position model. The record is from RNAcentral.
AGUGAACGCUGGCGGUAGGCCUAACACAUGCAAGUCGAACGGCAGCACAGUAAGAGCUUGCUCUUACGGGUGGCGAGUGGCGGACGGGUGAGGAAUACAUCGGAAUCUACUUUUUCGUGGGGGAUAACGUAGGGAAACUUACGCUAAUACCGCAUACGACCUACGGGUGAAAGCAGGGGAUCUUCGGACCUUGCGCGAUUGAAUGAGCCGAUGUCGGAUUAGCUAGUUGGCGGGGUAAAGGCCCACCAAGGCGACGAUCCGUAGCUGGUCUGGGCGGAUGAUCAGCCACACUGGAACUGGGCCACGGUCCAGACUCCUACGGUAGGCAGCAGUGGGGUAUAUUGGACAAUGGGCGCAAGCCUUAUCCAGCCAUACCGCGUGGGUGAAGAAGGCCUUCGGGUUGUAAAGCCCUUUUGUUGGGAAAGAAAAGCAGCAGGUUAAUACCCCGCUGUUCUGACGGUACCCAAAGAAUAAGCACCGGCUAACUUCGUG